AUGAACGCUGGCGGCGUGCCUAAUACAUGCAAGUCGAGCGAACAGACGAGGAGCUUGCUCCUCUGACGUUAGCGGCGGACGGGUGAGUAACACGUGGAUAACCUACCUAUAAGACUGGGAUAACUUCGGGAAACCGGAGCUAAUACCGGAUAAUAUAUUGAACCGCAUGGUUCAAUAGUGAAAGACGGUUUUGCUGUCACUUAUAGAUGGAUCCGCGCCGCAUUAGCUAGUUGGUAAGGUAACGGCUUACCAAGGCAACGAUGCGUAGCCGACCUGAGAGGGUGAUCGGCCACCCUGGAACUGGGACACGGUCCAGACUCCUACGGGAGGCAGCAGUAGGGAAUCUUCCGCAAUGGGCGAAAGCCUGACGGAGCAACGCCGCGUGAGUGAUGAAGGUCUUCGGAUCGUAAAACUCUGUUAUUAGGGAAGAACAAAUGUGUAAGUAACUAUGCACGUCUUGACGGUACCUAAUCAGAAAGCCACGGCUAACUACGUG
RNAcentral lists this ribosomal RNA (496 nucleotides) under uncultured bacterium. RNAcentral describes it as "partial 16S ribosomal RNA". It matches the Rfam family "Bacterial small subunit ribosomal RNA", at positions 29 to 507 of the family's 1533-position model. The record is from RNAcentral.